AACGAACGCUGGCGGCAGGCCUAACACAUGCAAGUCGAACGAGACCUUCGGUGCUAGUGGCGCACGGGUGCGUAACGCGUGGGAACGUACCCUUAGGUUCGGAAUAACGCCCCGAAACGAGUGCUAAUACCGGAUAAGCUCUUCGGACGAAAGGUUUAUCGCCGUUGGAUUGGCCCGCGUUUGAUUAGCUAGUUGGUAGGGUAAAAGCCUACCAAGGCGACGAUCCAUAGCUGGUCUGAGAGGAUGAUCAGCCACACUGGGACUGAGACACGGCCCAGACUCCUACGGGAGGCAGCCGGUGGGAAUAUUGGACCAUGGGCGACAGGCUGAUCCAGCCAUGGCGGGUGAGUGAAGAAGGCCUUAGGGUUGUAAAGCCUCUUUACCCCGGAUGAUAAUGAACGUACCGGGAGAAUAAGGCCCGGGCAGAUCCGUG
Molecule: ribosomal RNA, 433 nt
Filed under: uncultured bacterium
Lineage: Bacteria
Description: partial 16S ribosomal RNA
Rfam family: Bacterial small subunit ribosomal RNA
Source: RNAcentral